ACGGGACCGCACAGCUAGCGGAGCGUGUGGUUUAAUUCGUUGCUACACGAAGAACCUUACCUGGUUUGACAUAUAGGUUGUAGGGAACUGAAAAGGGACCGACCCUUCGGGGAGCCUAUACAGGUGUUGCAUGGCUGUCGUCAGCUCGUGUCGUGAGAUGUUCGGUUAAGUCCGCUAACGAGCGCAACCCUCGUCGUAUGUUAUAUGUGUCAUACGAGACUGCCGGUAAAAAGCCGGAGGAAGGUGAGGAUGAUGUCAAGUCAGCAUGACCUUUAUAUCCAGGGCUACACACACGCUACAAUGGUCUGUACAAUGGGUAGCCAAGCCGCGAGGCGGAGCCAAUCCUGAAAGCAGGCCUCAGUUCAGAUUGCAGUCUGCAACUCGACUGCAUGAAGCCGGAGUUGCUAGUAACCGCAGGUCAGCAAUACUGCGGUGAAUACGUUCCCGGGUCUU
This 453-nucleotide ribosomal RNA is filed under the name uncultured Anaerolineaceae bacterium. RNAcentral describes it as "bacterial SSU rRNA". It matches the Rfam family "Bacterial small subunit ribosomal RNA", at positions 917 to 1381 of the family's 1533-position model. Lineage: Bacteria; Bacillati; Chloroflexota; Anaerolineae; Anaerolineales; Anaerolineaceae. The record is from RNAcentral.